UAUAAGGGAUUUUGAGUUUUUGCUUGCAACGUUUGAUCACUCGUCUUAUUCAAAAUUUUUUGAAAUUAUUAUUUAUUUUAUUUGUGACUUACUUUAUUAUCUAUAGUACUUUAUACACAACUUUUCGUUUUUUAUAUUUGCAAAAAAAAAUUGAAUAAGAUGAGUGGUCAAACAUUACAAACAAAAACUCAAAAUCCCUUAUA
Molecule: microRNA precursor, 203 nt
Filed under: Oryza barthii
Lineage: Eukaryota; Viridiplantae; Streptophyta; Magnoliopsida; Poales; Poaceae
Description: MIR812 microRNA precursor family
Rfam family: MIR812 microRNA precursor family
Source: Rfam by way of RNAcentral